AUCAUUACCGAGUGCGGGCUGCCUCCGGGCGCCCAACCUCCCACCCGUGACUACCUAACACUGUUGCUUCGGCGGGGAGCCCUCUCGGGGGCGAGCCGCCGGGGACUACUGAACUUCAUGCCUGAGAGUGAUGCAGUCUGAGUCUGAAUAUAAAAUCAGUCAAAACUUUCAACAAUGGAUCUCUUGGUUCCGGCAUCGAUGAAGAACGCAGCGAACUGCGAUAAGUAAUGUGAAUUGCAGAAUUCAGUGAAUCAUCGAGUCUUUGAACGCACAUUGCGCCCCCUGGCAUUCCGGGGGGCAUGCCUGUCCGAGCGUCAUUGCUGCCCAUCAAGCCCGGCUUGUGUGUUGGGUCGUCGUCCCCCCCGGGGGACGGGCCCGAAAGGCAGCGGCGGCACCGUGUCCGGUCCUCGAGCGUAUGGGGCUUUGUCACCCGCUCGAUUAGGGCCGGCCGGGCGCCAGCCGACGUCUCCAACCAUUUUCUUCAGGUUGACCUCGGAUCAGGUAGGGAUACCCGCUGAACUUAAGCAUAUCAAUAAGCGGAGGA
RNAcentral lists this ribosomal RNA (544 nucleotides) under uncultured Aspergillus. RNAcentral's name for it is "eukaryotic LSU rRNA". The stretch from base 164 to 317 matches the Rfam family "5.8S ribosomal RNA". Lineage: Eukaryota; Fungi; Ascomycota; Eurotiomycetes; Eurotiales; Aspergillaceae. The record is from RNAcentral.